RNAcentral lists this small RNA (88 nucleotides) under Salmonella enterica. RNAcentral's name for it is "partial RtT sRNA". It matches the Rfam family "RtT RNA", at positions 1 to 86 of the family's 130-position model. Rfam says of the family: This family represents a bacterial cis-regulatory element known as RtT RNA. The exact function of RtT is unknown although it is thought that it may be involved in changing the cellular response in relation to amino acid starvation. RNAcentral also lists the same sequence under 4 other names. The record is from RNAcentral. Lineage: Bacteria; Pseudomonadati; Pseudomonadota; Gammaproteobacteria; Enterobacterales; Enterobacteriaceae.
AUAUCUCUCUGUACGGGAAGGAUGAGAAGCUUCGACUAAGGUUCGAUUCGAGCGUCAGCGAGAAAGCGUUGCCGCAGGCAACGACCCG